GCAAGUCGAGCGCGCCCUUCGGGGUGAGCGGCGGACGGGUGAGUAACGCGUGGGAACGUGCCCUUCUGUGCGGAAUAGCCACUGGAAACGGUGAGUAAUACCGCAUACGCCCUUCGGGGGAAAGAUUUAUCGCAGAGGGAUCGGCCCGCGUUGGAUUAGGUAGUUGGUGGGGUAAUGGCCUACCAAGCCUACGAUCUAUAGCUGGUUUUAGAGGAUGAUC
This 220-nucleotide ribosomal RNA is filed under the name uncultured bacterium. RNAcentral describes it as "partial 16S ribosomal RNA". It matches the Rfam family "Bacterial small subunit ribosomal RNA", at positions 57 to 305 of the family's 1533-position model. The record is from RNAcentral.